GUUGUGCUGCUAGAUUUAAACAGAGUCUCAAGCUAUUGCUGUGAUUGAUCUUCCAUUUUCUGGCCUGAAAGACAUUCAGGGAAAGAGGAAGAGAUGGUAGUUUUUUGGAAAAGAUGCAAGAAUAUUCCACCAAAGGGCAGCAUAUCUUGCAUGGGAGUAAACAAAGUAAUACAACAGUAAAAAUCUCUGAGGGCAAAGAUAGUCAUAAUGCUAGACUAUCUCAAGAAUGUGAAGUAUACAACAAAUCAUUCACUUAUCCUAUUCAUCUUCAAAAACAUGAAAGAACUCACAGUGGAGAGAAACCCUAUGAAUGUAAACAAUGUACUAAAACAUUCAGUCAAGCUGGUCAUCUUCGGGCACAUGAAAGAACUCACAGUGGGAAGAAACCCUAUGAAUGUAAACAGUGUAGUAAAACAUUCAGUUGUUCCAGUCAUCUUCAGAGACAUGAAAGCAUUCACAGUGGAGAGAAACCCUAUGAAUGUAAACAAUGUAGUAAAACAUUCAGUUGUUCCAGUCA
This is an RNA transcript of Erinaceus europaeus (western European hedgehog), 517 nucleotides long. It is a transcript of the gene named zinc finger protein 627-like, with no coding region annotated. The record is from RefSeq and is a predicted model, not a curated record. Lineage: Eukaryota; Metazoa; Chordata; Mammalia; Eulipotyphla; Erinaceidae. The transcript has 3 exons.